Molecule: ribosomal RNA, 253 nt
Filed under: uncultured bacterium
Lineage: Bacteria
Description: partial 16S ribosomal RNA
Rfam family: Bacterial small subunit ribosomal RNA
Source: RNAcentral
UACAGAGACUGCGAGCGUUAUUCGGAUUCACUGGGCGUAAAGGGUGCGCAGGCGGCCAAGUGUGUUAGGCGUGAAAGCCCGAGGCUUAACCUCGGAAUUGCACCUAAAACUUCAUGGCUAGAGUACUGGAGAGGGUAACGGAAUUCACGGUGUAGCAGUGAAAUGCGUAGAUAUCGUGAGGAACACCAGAGGCGAAGGCGGUUACCUGGACAGUUACUGACGCUCAGGCACGAAAGCGUGGGGAGCAAAAGGG